Molecule: ribosomal RNA, 466 nt
Filed under: uncultured bacterium
Lineage: Bacteria
Description: partial 16S ribosomal RNA
Rfam family: Bacterial small subunit ribosomal RNA
Source: RNAcentral
GAUGAACGCUGGCGGCGUGCUUAACACAUGCAAGUCGAACGGAAAGGCCCAAGCUUGCUUGGGUACUCGAGUGGCGAACGGGUGAGUAACACGUGGGUGAUCUGCCCUGCACUUCGGGAUAAGCCUGGGAAACUGGGUCUAAUACCGGAUAGGACCACAUUUUGGAUGGUGUGGUGGAAAGUUUUUCGGUGUGGGAUGAGCUCGCGGCCUAUCAGCUUGUUGGUGGGGUAAUGGCCUACCAAGGCGUCGACGGGUAGCCGGCCUGAGAGGGUGUACGGCCACAUUGGGACUGAGAUACGGCCCAGACGCCUACGGGAGGAAGCAGUGGGGAAGAUUGCACAAUGGGCGCAAGCCUGAUGCAGCGACGCCGCGUGGGGGAUGACGGCCUUCGGGUUGUAAACUCCUUUCGCUAGGGACGAAGCGUUAUGUGACGGUACCUGGAGAAGAAGCACCGGCUAACUACGUG